This 265-nucleotide long non-coding RNA is filed under the name Elaeis guineensis (African oil palm). Its description in RNAcentral is "long non-coding RNA (EGUI_LNC005802)". The record is from RNAcentral. Lineage: Eukaryota; Viridiplantae; Streptophyta; Magnoliopsida; Arecales; Arecaceae.
GCUACAGGACAGUAGCUGGUGGAGGAAUCCUGAGGGUGCUAUAUGGUGAUAGGAUUGUGCUGGAGGGAAAGAAGGAGAGCAGAGGAUAUUAUUACCUGACGGAAAGCCCAGUGCGAGGUGGAGCUUCGGGAGUCAAGUAGAGUCCAGAGCAAUGUGGAGCUCCAGGUGGAGGUGGAUCGAGCACGAGACAGGAGACUUGAGAGGCGAUGUCGCAAGAUGAGAUUCCUAUUGCCACAGGAUGAUGCCUCGAGUAGAUCUCAGGUCA